GGGCGAGUGGUGAAACUGGCAGACACGCUAGGUUCAGGACCUAGUGCCCGCAAGGGCUUGCGGGUUCAAAUCCCGCCUCGCCCACCA
This 87-nucleotide transfer RNA is filed under the name Actinomycetota bacterium. RNAcentral's name for it is "Actinobacteria bacterium (hot springs metagenome) tRNA-Leu". It matches the Rfam family "tRNA". Rfam says of the family: Transfer RNA (tRNA) molecules are approximately 80 nucleotides in length. Their secondary structure includes four short double-helical elements and three loops (D, anti-codon, and T loops). Further hydrogen bonds mediate the characteristic L-shaped molecular structure. tRNAs have two regions of fundamental functional importance: the anti-codon, which is responsible for specific mRNA codon recognition, and the 3' end, to which the tRNAs corresponding amino acid is attached (by aminoacyl-tRNA synthetases). tRNAs cope with the degeneracy of the genetic code in two manners: having more than one tRNA (with a specific anti-codon) for a particular amino acid; and 'wobble' base-pairing, i.e. permitting non-standard base-pairing at the 3rd anti-codon position. Lineage: Bacteria; Bacillati; Actinomycetota. The record is from RNAcentral.